Molecule: ribosomal RNA, 465 nt
Filed under: uncultured bacterium
Lineage: Bacteria
Description: bacterial SSU rRNA
Rfam family: Bacterial small subunit ribosomal RNA
Source: RNAcentral
CCUACGGGAGGCUGCAGUAGGGAAUCUUCCGCAAUGGACGAAAGUCUGACGGAGCAACGCCGCGUGAGCGAAGAAGGCCUUCGGGUCGUAAAGCUCUGUUGUCAGGGAAGAACAAGUAUCGGAGUAACUGCCGGUACCUUGACGGUACCUGACGAGAAAGCCACGGCUAACUACGUGCCAGCAGCCGCGGUAAUACGUAGGUGGCAAGCGUUGUCCGGAAUUAUUGGGCGUAAAGCGCGCGCAGGCGGUCCUUUAAGUCUGAUGUGAAAGCCCCCGGCUCAACCGGGGAGGGCCAUUGGAAACUGGGGGACUUGAGUGCAGGAGAGGGAAGUGGAAUUCCACGUGUAGCGGUGAAAUGCGUAGAGAUGUGGAGGAACACCAGUGGCGAAGGCGGCUUCCUGGCCUGUAACUGACGCUGAGGCGCGAAAGCGUGGGGAGCAAACAGGAUUAGAUACCCUAGUAGUC